RNAcentral lists this ribosomal RNA (272 nucleotides) under uncultured soil bacterium. Its description in RNAcentral is "partial 16S ribosomal RNA". It matches the Rfam family "Bacterial small subunit ribosomal RNA", at positions 26 to 301 of the family's 1533-position model. The record is from RNAcentral.
AGAUUGAACGCUGGCGGCAUGCCUUACACAUGCAAGUCGAACGGCAGCACGGGAGCAAUCCUGGUGGCGAGUGGCGAACGGGUGAGUAAUACAUCGGAACGUGCCCAAUCGUGGGGGAUAACGCAGCGAAAGCUGUGCUAAUACCGCAUAAGAUCUACGGAUGAAAGCAGGGGAUCGCAAGACCUUGCGCGAAUGGAGCGGCCGAUGGCAGAUUAGGUAGUUGGUGAGGUAAGGCCUCAACCAAGCCUUAGACUCGUAGUAGCGUGGUCGUG